AACGAACGCUGGCGGCAUGCCUAACACAUGCGAGUCGAACGAGACCUUCGGGUCUAGUGGCGCACGGGUGCGUAACGCGUGGGAACCUGCCCUUAGGUUCGGAAUAACUCCCCGACAGGGGUGCUAAUACCGGAUAAUGUCUUCGGACCAAAGAUUUAUCGCCCUUGGAUGGGCCCGCGUUGGAUUAGCUAGUUGGUAGGGUAAAAGCCUACCAAGGCGAAGAUCCAUAGCUGGUCUGAGAGGAUGAUCAGCCACACUGGGACUGAGACACGGCCCAGACUCUUACGGGAGGCAGCAGUGGGGAAUAUUGGACAAUGGGCGAAAUCCUGAUCCAGCAAUGCCGCGUGAGUGAUGAAGGCCUUAGGGUUGUAAAGCUCUUUUACCCGGGAUGAUAAUGACAGUACCGGGAGAAUAAGCUCCGGCUAACUCCGUG
This 433-nucleotide ribosomal RNA is filed under the name uncultured bacterium. RNAcentral describes it as "partial 16S ribosomal RNA". It matches the Rfam family "Bacterial small subunit ribosomal RNA", at positions 29 to 507 of the family's 1533-position model. The record is from RNAcentral.